AAUGAACGUUGGCGGCGUGGAUUAGGCAUGCAAGUCGAGCGAGAAGUUUCCUUCGGGAGAAUGGACAGCGGCGAACGGGAGAGUAACGAGUGGAGUACCUGCCCCGAGACCCGGGAUAGCCGUGGGAAACUGCGGGUAAUACCGGAUAAUGUCUCCGGACCAAAGGUGCGAUUCCGUCUUGGGAUGGCUCCGCUUCCUAUUAGCUUGUUGGUGAGGUAACGGCUCACCAAGGCAACUAUGGGUACCGGGUGUGAGAGCAUGACCCGGCUCACUGGGACUGAGACACUGCCCAGACACCUACGGGUGGCUGCAGUCGAGAAUCUUCGGCAAUGGACGCAAGUCCGACCGAGCGACGCCGCGUGCGGGAUGAAGGCCCUCGGGUUGUAAACCGCUGUCGGAGGGGAUGAAAUGCUAGGUGGUUAUCCGUCUAGUUUGACAUAUCCUCGGAGGAAGGACGGGCUAAGUUCGUG
This 470-nucleotide ribosomal RNA is filed under the name uncultured bacterium. RNAcentral describes it as "bacterial SSU rRNA". It matches the Rfam family "Bacterial small subunit ribosomal RNA", at positions 29 to 507 of the family's 1533-position model. The record is from RNAcentral.